GUCUACAGCCAUGCCACCCUGAAUGCACCCAAUCUCAUCUGAUCUUGGAAGCUUAGCAGGGUUGGGCCUGGUUAGUUCUUGGAUGGGAGACCACCUAGGAAUACCAGAUGCUGUAGGGC
This 119-nucleotide ribosomal RNA is filed under the name Pteropus alecto (black flying fox). The record is from RNAcentral. Lineage: Eukaryota; Metazoa; Chordata; Mammalia; Chiroptera; Pteropodidae.